CCAGAGAAUUUAGCAGAGAUGCUUUAGUGCCUUCGGGAACUCUGAGACAGGUGCUGCAUGGCUGUCGUCAGCUCGUGUUGUGAAAUGUUGGGUUAAGCCCCGCAACGAGCGCAACCCCUAUCCUUUGUUGCCAGCGAUUCGGUCGGGAACUCAAAGGAGAUUGCCGGUGAUAAACCGGAGGAAGGUGGGGAUGACGUCAAGUCAUCAUGGCCCUUACGAGUAGGGCUACACACGUGCUACAAUGGCGCAUACAAAGAGAAGCGACCUCGCGAGAGCAAGCGGACCUCAUAAAGUGCGUCGUAGUCCGGAUUGGAGUCUGCAACUCGACUCCAUGAAGUCGGAAUCGCUAGUAAUCGUAGAUCAGAAUGCUACGGUGAAUACGUUCCCGGGCCUUGUACACACCGCCCGUCACACCAUGGGAGUGGGUUGCAAAAGAAGUAGAUAGCUUAACCUUCGGGAGGGCGUUUACCACUUUGUGAUUCAUGACUGGGGUGAAGUCGUAACAAGGUAAGCGUAGCGAG
This 521-nucleotide ribosomal RNA is filed under the name uncultured bacterium. RNAcentral's name for it is "bacterial SSU rRNA". It matches the Rfam family "Bacterial small subunit ribosomal RNA", at positions 988 to 1509 of the family's 1533-position model. The record is from RNAcentral.